CCUACGGGAGGCUGCAGUGAGGAAUAUUGGUCAAUGGACGAGAGUCUGAACCAGCCAAGUAGCGUGAAGGAUGACUGCCCUAUGGGUUGUAAACUUCUUUUAUAAAGGAAUAAAACGAGGCACGUGUGCCUUUUUGCAUGUACUUUAUGAAUAAGGAUCGGCUAACUCCGUGCCAGCAGCCGCGGUAAUACGGAGGAUCCGAGCGUUAUCCGGAUUUAUUGGGUUUAAAGGGAGCGUAGAUGGGUUGUUAAGUCAGUUGUGAAAGUUUGCGGCUCAACCGUAAAAUUGCAAUUGAUACUGGCAGUCGUGAGUACAGUUGAGGGAGGCGGAAUUCGUGGUGUAGCGGUGAAAUGCUUAGAUAUCACGAAGAACCCCGAUUGCGAAGGCAGCUUACUAAACUGUGACUGACAUUGAUGCUCGAAAGUGUGGGUAUCAAACAGGAUUAGAUACCCGUGUAGUC
This 460-nucleotide ribosomal RNA is filed under the name uncultured bacterium. RNAcentral describes it as "partial 16S ribosomal RNA". It matches the Rfam family "Bacterial small subunit ribosomal RNA", at positions 338 to 795 of the family's 1533-position model. The record is from RNAcentral.